This 433-nucleotide ribosomal RNA is filed under the name uncultured bacterium. RNAcentral's name for it is "partial 16S ribosomal RNA". It matches the Rfam family "Bacterial small subunit ribosomal RNA", at positions 29 to 507 of the family's 1533-position model. The record is from RNAcentral.
AACGAACGCUGGCGGCAUGCCUAACACAUGCAAGUCGAACGAGACCUUCGGGUCUAGUGGCGCACGGGUGCGUAACGCGGGGGAACCUGCCCUUAGGUUCGGAAUAACUCCCCGAAAGGGGUGCUAAUACCGGAUAAUGUCUUCCGACCAAAGAUUUAUCGCCUUUGGAUGGGCCCGCGCUGGAUUAGCUAGUUGGUAGGGUAAAAGCCUACCAAGGAGACGAUCCAUAGCUGGUCUGAGAGGAUGAUCAGCCACACUGGGACUGAGACACGGCCCAGACUCCUACGGGAGGCAGCAGUGGGGAAUAUUGGACAAUGGGCGAAAGCCUGAUCCAGCAAUGCCGCGUGAGUGAUGAAGGCCUUAGGGUUGUAAAGCUCUUUUACCCGGGAUGAUAAUGACGGUACCGGGAGAAUAAGCACCGGCUAACUACGUG